CUGUAAGUAAGUGCCAGGCACAUUGGUAAGGUCAGAGGUGUGCAAAUGAUUACAUCAUUUCUUAUUACUAGCAUCCUAGGAUAGAGAGAGGUCUGUGCUCAGGCAGUGGACAUGGAUUCUAACUGUUACUAUGCUGCUUGAUAUCACAGAACCCUGGGCCACUGAAUUCAUCCUCAGGUUCUUAGGUUCCUUAUCUGUUACAUUAGAAGGUCAGGCUAAAUCAGGAGUGGCAAGCAAUUAGCAUGGCCCCCAUUCUCCAAACUCACACUCUUGGUAGAUAUUUCUAACGCAUCACGGCUCUCUUUCUGCUGAGAUGAGAUCUACCAAUUGGAGUUGGCACCCUAGAAGAAAGGUAUUUGUCAUUACAGAUCACAGAGUACUUGGAGAGGCAUAAUAGACUAUUAGAAAGAGCAUAGGCCUUGGAGACAGGCAAACCUGGAUUAAAAUUUUCAGUGCCAUUUACUGAGCUGUGUAAAUUCAGACAAAUGAAUUAACCUCUCUGAGCUUCAGUUCUUUCAUCUGUAAAACAGAUACGAUUCUUCCUACCUCAGCAGUUUGAAUGUCGCCUCCAAAAUUCAGGUGUUGCAAUUUUGCUAGUAUUAACAGGUGCAUUUAAUUACACUCAGAUUAAAAAAGGUAUUAAGAAGUGGGGCCUGUAAGAGGUGAUUAGGCCAUGAGGGACACCUUCUUCUUUAAUGGGACUAAAUCCCUUAUUAAGGAGGCUUCACAAAGCAUUUGGCUAGCUUGCGCUUCUGCUUUCUGCCAUGUAAGGUCCUAUCAAGAAGGCCCUCACCAGACCAAGUGCCGGCACCUCGAUCUUGAACUUCAUAGCUUCCAGAACUGAGGGCUCUCACCAGAUAGUCAAGCAGAUGCCGGUGCCAUGCCCUUGGACUUCCCAGUCUUCAGAACAGGCUCAUGUGGUUACGCUGGAGCUGCCCAGAUAAUCCUAGAGAUGAAUGGGUUUCUUCUUUGGAGAAAAGCCAAACCCACCUCCAAAUCCCAAGAAGACUUGUAAUUUCUAUAUAUUUAGACUCUGCUGAUUGUUUAUUUGCUUCUCCAGUCAAUUUGUAUCAGGUGCAGUUGCUGUGUUGA
This is a long non-coding RNA of Papio anubis (olive baboon), 1092 nucleotides long. NCBI's taxonomy places the organism in Eukaryota, Metazoa, Chordata, Mammalia, Primates, Cercopithecidae. The record is from Ensembl.